Molecule: transfer RNA, 74 nt
Filed under: Candidatus Doudnabacteria bacterium RIFCSPHIGHO2_01_FULL_50_11
Lineage: Bacteria; Candidatus Doudnaibacteriota
Also listed under: 2 other names
Description: tRNA-Ala
Rfam family: tRNA
About the family: Transfer RNA (tRNA) molecules are approximately 80 nucleotides in length. Their secondary structure includes four short double-helical elements and three loops (D, anti-codon, and T loops). Further hydrogen bonds mediate the characteristic L-shaped molecular structure. tRNAs have two regions of fundamental functional importance: the anti-codon, which is responsible for specific mRNA codon recognition, and the 3' end, to which the tRNAs corresponding amino acid is attached (by aminoacyl-tRNA synthetases). tRNAs cope with the degeneracy of the genetic code in two manners: having more than one tRNA (with a specific anti-codon) for a particular amino acid; and 'wobble' base-pairing, i.e. permitting non-standard base-pairing at the 3rd anti-codon position.
Source: RNAcentral
GGGCCUGUAGUAUAAUGGUAACACGCGACUAUGGCAUAGUCGAGUCGGGGGUCCGAUUCCCCCCAGGUCCACCA